GAAGAACGUAGCGAAAUGCGAUACGUAAUGUGAAUUGCAGAAUUCAGUGAAUCAUCGAAUCUUUGAACGCACAUUGCGCCCCUUGGUAUUCCGAGGGGCAUGCCUGUUCGAGCGUCAUUAUAACCCCUCAAGCUCAGCUUGGUGUUGGGGCCUGCUGCACUGGCAGCCCUUAAAAUCAGUGGCGGCGCCAUCUGGCUCUAAGCGUAGUAAUUCUUCUCGCUAUGGAGUCCUGGUGGAUGCUUGCCAUCAACCCCCAAUUUUUCUAUGGUUGACCUCGGAUCAGGUAGGGAUACCCGCUGAACUUAAGCAUAUCAAUAAGCGGAGGA
RNAcentral lists this unclassified non-coding RNA (326 nucleotides) under soil metagenome. RNAcentral describes it as "partial contains 5.8S ribosomal RNA, internal transcribed spacer 2, and large subunit ribosomal RNA". The stretch from base 1 to 117 matches the Rfam family "5.8S ribosomal RNA", at positions 38 to 154 of the family's 154-position model. The record is from RNAcentral.